RNAcentral lists this ribosomal RNA (167 nucleotides) under Klebsiella pneumoniae. Its description in RNAcentral is "partial 23S ribosomal RNA". It matches the Rfam family "Bacterial large subunit ribosomal RNA", at positions 1 to 161 of the family's 2925-position model. The record is from RNAcentral. Lineage: Bacteria; Pseudomonadati; Pseudomonadota; Gammaproteobacteria; Enterobacterales; Enterobacteriaceae.
GUUAUAUGGUCAAGUGAAGAAGCGCAUACGGUGGAUGCCUUGGCAGUCAGAGGCGAUGAAAGACGUGGUAGCCUGCGAUAAGCUUUGGGGAGUCGGCAAACAGACUGUGAUCCAGAGAUCUCUGAAUGGGGGAACCCACUCAGCAUAAGCUGAGUAUCUUGUACUGA